Long non-coding RNA from Vicia villosa (hairy vetch), 661 nucleotides. RefSeq lists it as uncharacterized. The transcript has 2 exons. The record is from RefSeq and is a predicted model, not a curated record. Lineage: Eukaryota; Viridiplantae; Streptophyta; Magnoliopsida; Fabales; Fabaceae.
UUAUUUUUCUUUCGAGAUUUUUCUAUUAUCUAUCAUGAAAGGCUAUAAGAGAAAUAAUUUUUUUUAAAUAAAAUUAAAGUUAAAAUAAAUAGAGAACAUAAGAUAUAAACAUAACACUUUGAUAUAUCUUAGAGAUAUCUAACACAAGUUACAGUUUUAUGAUUGUCUCUUUAAACUCCAAUGCAUUAAAAUUUAUUUAAUUAUAGUUUACAUAAUAUAGAAUUUUUACUUAUAAAGUGAUCAAACACAUUUUUCAGUUUGUUACAUGAAAACAUGAAAAAAAAUAUGGCUCAGCUUUCCAAGUUCCUUUAUGUUUUGGUUAUCAUUAUUUCUUUGUUUUUUACUUCAAUUAAUGGAGAAACAACGCCGCAUGAUCCAUUUUAUUGCAAAACUACGGCAGAUUGUGCUUACAAGACGUGCCCUAGUCAUUUGGAUCCAAAGUGCAUUCAUUAUAGGUGUCAAUGCAUAUAAUUUUGUUUUCGUGUCAUGAUGUUGGUAUUUUUUUUAAUAAUAUUUUAUAUUUUCUUUUAUGUAUCUAUUAUCUUUUAAAUAAUUUGACUAGCACAAAAUUAUCUUAUUAAGUGUUGUUAAUCGGGUUGCUUUUAAAAAAUAUUAAAUAAAACGUUGUCACUUAUAGAAUUAUAUAGUGAAGAAAACAUUA